GUCCAUUAAUGCAUACACAUCAGAACACCCAAUGACGAGAUUACCUGACACCACGGUGUUGGAUGUGUUAGCCUCCUGCUGAGUCAUGGUGAAGAUCCUGGCUGGAGCUGAUGGAUCUUCACCUCGGGAACCAGAAGAAGAGGCUGCCCCUCUCCCUCUACCUCUGCCACUGCCCUGAGUUGUGGCUGGAGCUGCUGGCUGUGCCACACUACCAGAAGCUGUCUGCUGGGGCUGGCCCAUAAAAGGUGCUCUAGGACACUCCCGAGC
This 267-nucleotide long non-coding RNA is filed under the name Manihot esculenta (cassava). RNAcentral's name for it is "long non-coding RNA (MESC_LNC009727)". Lineage: Eukaryota; Viridiplantae; Streptophyta; Magnoliopsida; Malpighiales; Euphorbiaceae. The record is from RNAcentral.